CCAGCGAGCAGAACGGCCCUCGCUCUCCACCCCUUGUGUUGGCUCCACGUCUCUCCACUUCCCUUGGCUCCUCAUCUCCAAGAACGCAUCAAGAAUGCAGCGGCCAGAUUAUGUGCAGCAUGUUCCCCUUCUCCUUCCACUCUUUUUUCCAAUAAAUUUGGCCUCCGCUGCUGCAUCUCUUUGGUUCGCCUAUCAAAUCUGCACCUGUGCGAGUCGCCUCCUCCUGCGCUCACCAGUCCGCCUCUGGGGAACGCCAUGGGGCAAGGAUGCUGUCCGCCGCCGUGGGCCAUGUCGAGGAGCACCGCUGGAGAUCAGGAGGGACAACUUCAUUGCAUUCAGAGUUUCAGACUAUUGGAUCUGCGAGGCACCAGCAACAGUGUUGAAUAUGAAGAGGCCUACAUCUUUCUGAUGAUGCUCUCCAGCAGAUUAUGGACAAGGCAGUCAAGUAGGUGGACUUGAACAACAAUAGGUGGGCAGAUCCUAACGAAUGGGAAGCGUUCCGAAAGAAUCAUAACAAUGUCAUUCACUCUCAACCUGCGCUACAAAAAUAUUUGUAUAUGCAAUUUAUGUCGACAACUGUGAUAUCAUAUAUGUCCUAGAUGACAAGCUUAAUUUAAGAUUUUGGUCAGAGCCCACCUAAUGCAAGUGUCGGAUGAUUUUCCGCUGAUGGCAAGGAUCUAGGACGAUUUGGUGGUUCUUACUGCAUAGUAUUGUUGCUGCUCAAUAUACAAGUAUGACAGUUUCCUGCGAGGGGCUUAAACGGGGCUGCUGGCACCCUCAUACAACAGUCCUGCCCUGCCCUCCCAGUUCGAUUGUAAGGCUGGGUACAUUUUUCACCCUAUGUUUAGCUUUUAAAUUCAAGCGACUGCAUUUAUGAUUUUUACAGUAUAAGCAUGGAUGAUUUGAUUGUCUUA
This is a long non-coding RNA of Triticum aestivum (bread wheat), 914 nucleotides long. RefSeq lists it as uncharacterized. The transcript is spliced from 6 exons. NCBI's taxonomy places the organism in Eukaryota, Viridiplantae, Streptophyta, Magnoliopsida, Poales, Poaceae. The record is from RefSeq and is a predicted model, not a curated record.